GACAUCACCGAUAGGGCGUUUCUAUGUAGAUGAGGCAGCGCAGGGGCUGCUGCUUCGCCAUGAAGGAUUUCCCGUGCUGUAGGAGCAAGUCCGGGACCGCUGGCUGGACGUGAGCGUCCUAGCUGUGCGUUAGGGCUAGGAGGGCUCAGGGUGAUUGGGGAUUGGCUGGGGUGGUGCUCGGGGCAAGUGACCGUGCGUGUAAAGGGUGAGGCGUAUGGAGCUGUGGCGGGGCGGAAGUUCACAUGUGUGGUAUGUAGAGCACAUGUUAUGGUUAUCAAAGUGGUUUACUGUAAGGCUGAGGGCUAUGCAUUCUAUGGCUAUGUUGUUGUCUCUUAUUUUUCCAAACGUGGAAACCUCUGUUUUGUAACUUGUAGUAAUAAGGUA
This 384-nucleotide long non-coding RNA is filed under the name Homo sapiens (human). Its description in RNAcentral is "HSALNT0290504". The record is from RNAcentral. Lineage: Eukaryota; Metazoa; Chordata; Mammalia; Primates; Hominidae.